This 468-nucleotide ribosomal RNA is filed under the name uncultured bacterium. RNAcentral describes it as "partial 16S ribosomal RNA". It matches the Rfam family "Bacterial small subunit ribosomal RNA", at positions 28 to 507 of the family's 1533-position model. The record is from RNAcentral.
GACGAACGCUGGCGGCGUGCUUAACACAUGCCAGUCGAACGGAAAGGCCCUGCUUUUGUGGGGUGCUCGAGUGGCGAACGGGUGAGUAACACGUGAGUAACCUGCCCUUGACUUUGGGAUAACUUCAGGAAACUGGGGCUAAUACCGGAUAGGAGCUCCUGCUGCAUGGUGGGGGUUGGAAAGUUUCGGCGGUUGGGGAUGGACUCGCGGCUUAUCAGCUUGUUGGUGGGGUAGUGGCUUACCAAGGCUUUGACGGGUAGCCGGCCUGAGAGGGUGACCGGCCACAUUGGGACUGAGAUACGGCCCAGACUCCUACGGGAGGCAGCAGUGGGGAAUAUUGCACAAUGGGCGGAAGCCUGAUGCAGCAACGCCGCGUGCGGGAUGACGACCUUCGGGUUGUAAACCGCUUUCGCCUGUGACGAAGCGUGAGUGACGGUAAUGGGUAAAGAAGCACCGGCUAACUACGUG